AUUUUCUGGAACUUGAAAGUCCUCCAGGAAGCGACUCCAUUUGUUGCCAGCUACAAGGCGUUCCCCGCGAACCCUGAUGGUGUUCCGGCCUUCCAUGCUAACCUUGAUCUGCUCCUUCAUGAAACCUGCAAAAGAAAAGGAAGAUAAAUAUUGAGAAUGUGGGAUUCAUCAUCUUGCUGCCAUUCAGAUACCGGCUUGAAAUCUUCGUAGACUGAUCGGACGACCCCUGAUCUUGUUGUCCGUCUAGAACCGGCACCGCCGCCGCCUCUCGACCUCAUCACCAUUUGCUCUGCAACUAGUUUUUUCUCAAUGUGGUAAAUCUGUUAUAUAACAGCAAUGUGUGUGUUGUGUGUGUGAGUGGCGUGCAUGGAUUUAUAUAUAUGGGUUUUGUGGGUGUAGUUUCUUGGUAUGAAUGAAAAACUAUUGGUUGGCAUUAGGGUUGCUUGUACAGUUUGCAUUGUUGGGAUUUGGAUUGGUGAAGAUGCAAUGUACAAGGAAUCUCUUUUCUUUCCUGAAGAUAUAACUUAACUCGAAAAGUGAUUACUUUUCAAAGGAUGAAAACUGGUCAUAUUACUUGGCCUUGUAUGCCAAGUAAGAAUUUUCCUACGUUGAAAUGGUAUCAAAAUGCAUUUGGAUUUUUA
Salvia miltiorrhiza (redroot sage) is the source of this 641-nucleotide long non-coding RNA. RefSeq lists it as uncharacterized. The transcript has 2 exons. NCBI's taxonomy places the organism in Eukaryota, Viridiplantae, Streptophyta, Magnoliopsida, Lamiales, Lamiaceae. The record is from RefSeq and is a predicted model, not a curated record.